GUACGGAAGGCAGCAGUAGGGAAUAUUGCACAAUGGAGGAAACUCUGAUGCAGCGACGCCGCGUGAGUGAUGAAGGCCUUCGGGUCGUAAAGCUCUGUCGUAUGGGACUAACAAAAUGAAGGUACCAUGCAAGAAAGGAUCGGCUAACUUCGUGCCAGCAGCCGCGGUAAGACGAGGGAUCCUAGCGUUGUUCGGAAUUAUUGGGCGUAAAGCGGGUGUAGGCGGACUUAUAAGUCAGGUGUGAAAUCCCAGGGCUCAACCCUGGAAGUGCACUUGAUACUGCAAGUCUUGAGUGUGGUAGAGGCUAUUAGAAUUCUUGGUGUAGUGGUGAAAUACGUAGAUAUCAAGAGGAAUACCGGAGGCGAAGGCGGAUAGCUGGCCAACACUGACGCUGAGACCCGAAAGCGUGGGGAUCAAACAGGAUUAGAUACCCCGGUAGG
This 440-nucleotide ribosomal RNA is filed under the name uncultured bacterium. RNAcentral describes it as "bacterial SSU rRNA". It matches the Rfam family "Bacterial small subunit ribosomal RNA", at positions 339 to 794 of the family's 1533-position model. The record is from RNAcentral.